UACGUAGGGGGGCUAGCGUUGUCCGGAUUUAUUGGGCGUAAAGAGCGUGUAGGCGGCCAGGUAGGUCUGCUGUGAAAACUCGAGGCUCAACCUCGAGACGUCGGCGGAAACCAUCUGGCUAGAGUCCGGAAGAGGAGAGUGGAAUUCCUGGUGUAGCGGUGAAAUGCGCAGAUAUCAGGAAGAACACCCCGUGGCGAAGGCGGCUCUCUGGGACGGUACUGACGCUGAGACGCGAAAGCGUGGGGAGCGAACAGG
Molecule: ribosomal RNA, 255 nt
Filed under: uncultured bacterium
Lineage: Bacteria
Description: partial 16S ribosomal RNA
Rfam family: Bacterial small subunit ribosomal RNA
Source: RNAcentral